This 2900-nucleotide ribosomal RNA is filed under the name Klebsiella pneumoniae. RNAcentral's name for it is "bacterial LSU rRNA". It matches the Rfam family "Bacterial large subunit ribosomal RNA". The record is from RNAcentral. Lineage: Bacteria; Pseudomonadati; Pseudomonadota; Gammaproteobacteria; Enterobacterales; Enterobacteriaceae.
UUAAGCGACUAAGCGUACACGGUGGAUGCCCUGGCAGUCAGAGGCGAUGAAGGACGUGCUAAUCUGCGAAAAGCGUCGGUAAGGUGAUAUGAACCGUUAUAGCCGGCGAUGUCCGAAUGGGGAAACCCAGUGUGAUUCGUCACACUAUCGUUAACUGAAUACAUAGGUUAACGAGGCGAACCGGGGGAACUGAAACAUCUAAGUACCCCGAGGAAAAGAAAUCAACCGAGAUUCCCCCAGUAGCGGCGAGCGAACGGGGAGCAGCCCAGAGUCUGAAUCAGCUUGUGUGUUAGUGGAACGGUCUGGAAAGUCCGACGGUACAGGGUGAUAGUCCCGUACACCAAAAUGCACAGGCUGUGAACUCGAAGAGUAGGGCGGGACACGUGGUAUCCUGUCUGAAUAUGGGGGGACCAUCCUCCAAGGCUAAAUACUCCUGACUGACCGAUAGUGAACCAGUACCGUGAGGGAAAGGCGAAAAGAACCCCGGCGAGGGGAGUGAAAAAGAACCUGAAACCGUGUACGUACAAGCAGUGGGAGCACCUUCGGGUGUGACUGCGUACCUUUUGUAUAAUGGGUCAGCGACUUAUAUUCUGUAGCAAGGUUAACCGUAUAGGGGAGCCGCAGGGAAACCGAGUCUUAACUGGGCGUUAAGUUGCAGGGUAUAGACCCGAAACCCGGUGAUCUAGCCAUGGGCAGGUUGAAGGUUGGGUAACACUAACUGGAGGACCGAACCGACUAAUGUUGAAAAAUUAGCGGAUGACUUGUGGCUGGGGGUGAAAGGCCAAUCAAACCGGGAGAUAGCUGGUUCUCCCCGAAAGCUAUUUAGGUAGCGCCUCGUGAACUCAUCUUCGGGGGUAGAGCACUGUUUCGGCUAGGGGGUCAUCCCGACUUACCAACCCGAUGCAAACUACGAAUACCGAAGAAUGUUAUCACGGGAGACACACGGCGGGUGCUAACGUCCGUCGUGAAGAGGGAAACAACCCAGACCGCCAGCUAAGGUCCCAAAGUCAUGGUUAAGUGGGAAACGAUGUGGGAAGGCACAGACAGCCAGGAUGUUGGCUUAGAAGCAGCCAUCAUUUAAAGAAAGCGUAAUAGCUCACUGGUCGAGUCGGCCUGCGCGGAAGAUGUAACGGGGCUAAACCAUGCACCGAAGCUGCGGCAGCGACACUAUGUGUUGUUGGGUAGGGGAGCGUUCUGUAAGCCUGCGAAGGUGUGCUGUGAGGCAUGCUGGAGGUAUCAGAAGUGCGAAUGCUGACAUAAGUAACGAUAAAGCGGGUGAAAAGCCCGCUCGCCGGAAGACCAAGGGUUCCUGUCCAACGUUAAUCGGGGCAGGGUGAGUCGACCCCUAAGGCGAGGCCGAAAGGCGUAGUCGAUGGGAAACAGGUUAAUAUUCCUGUACUUGGUGUUACUGCGAAGGGGGGACGGAGAAGGCUAUGUUAGCCGGGCGACGGUUGUCCCGGUUUAAGCAUGUAGGCUGAUUGUCCAGGCAAAUCCGGAUAAUCAAGGCUGAGGUGUGAUGACGAGGCACUACGGUGCUGAAGUAACAAAUGCCCUGCUUCCAGGAAAAGCCUCUAAGCAUCAGGUAACAUUAAAUCGUACCCCAAACCGACACAGGUGGUCAGGUAGAGAAUACCAAGGCGCUUGAGAGAACUCGGGUGAAGGAACUAGGCAAAAUGGUGCCGUAACUUCGGGAGAAGGCACGCUGGUGUGUAGGUGAAGCCCCUGCGGGUGGAGCUGAGACCAGUCGAAGAUACCAGCUGGCUGCAACUGUUUAUUAAAAACACAGCACUGUGCAAACACGAAAGUGGACGUAUACGGUGUGACGCCUGCCCGGUGCCGGAAGGUUAAUUGAUGGGGUUAUCCGUAAGGAGAAGCUCUUGAUCGAAGCCCCGGUAAACGGCGGCCGUAACUAUAACGGUCCUAAGGUAGCGAAAUUCCUUGUCGGGUAAGUUCCGACCUGCACGAAUGGCGUAAUGAUGGCCAGGCUGUCUCCACCCGAGACUCAGUGAAAUUGAACUCGCUGUGAAGAUGCAGUGUACCCGCGGCAAGACGGAAAGACCCCGUGAACCUUUACUAUAGCUUGACACUGAACAUUGAGCCUUGAUGUGUAGGAUAGGUGGGAGGCUUUGAAGCGUGGACGCCAGUCUGCGUGGAGCCAACCUUGAAAUACCACCCUUUAAUGUUUGAUGUUCUAACGUUGGCCCCUUACCGGGGUUGCGGACAGUGUCUGGUGGGUAGUUUGACUGGGGCGGUCUCCUCCCAAAGCGUAACGGAGGAGCACGAAGGUUAGCUAAUCCUGGUCGGACAUCAGGAGGUUAGUGCAAUGGCAUAAGCUAGCUUGACUGCGAGCGUGACGGCGCGAGCAGGUGCGAAAGCAGGUCAUAGUGAUCCGGUGGUUCUGAAUGGAAGGGCCAUCGCUCAACGGAUAAAAGGUACUCCGGGGAUAACAGGCUGAUACCGCCCAAGAGUUCAUAUCGACGGCGGUGUUUGGCACCUCGAUGUCGGCUCAUCACAUCCUGGGGCUGAAGUAGGUCCCAAGGGUAUGGCUGUUCGCCAUUUAAAGUGGUACGCGAGCUGGGUUUAGAACGUCGUGAGACAGUUCGGUCCCUAUCUGCCGUGGGCGCUGGAGAAUUGAGGGGGGCUGCUCCUAGUACGAGAGGACCGGAGUGGACGCAUCACUGGUGUUCGGGUUGUCAUGCCAAUGGCACUGCCCGGUAGCUAAAUGCGGAAGAGAUAAGUGCUGAAAGCAUCUAAGCACGAAACUUGCCCCGAGAUGAGUUCUCCCUGAGACUUUAAGUCUCCUGAAGGAACGUUGAAGACGACGACGUUGAUAGGCCGGGUGUGUAAGCGCAGCGAUGCGUUGAGCUAACCGGUACUAAUGAACCGUGAGGCUUAACCUU